GUUGUUUAAAUGUUCCCUUUAUUUUUUUGAGCAGUGUGUGUGUAUAUAUAUAUAUAAAUAUACACACACACUGCUCAAAAAAAUAAAGGGAACAUUUA
This is a non-coding RNA of Pelobates cultripes (western spadefoot toad), 98 nucleotides long. NCBI's taxonomy places the organism in Eukaryota, Metazoa, Chordata, Amphibia, Anura, Pelobatidae. The record is from the annotation of a GenBank genome assembly.